CCUACGGGUGGCAGCAGUGAGGAAUAUUGGUCAAUGGCCGAGAGGCUGAACCAGCCAAGUCGCGUGAGGGAAGAAUGUCCUAUGGAUUGUAAACCUCUUUUGUCAGGGAGCAAAGUCACCCACGUGUGGGUGUUGGAGAGUACCUGAAGAAAAAGCAUCGGCUAACUCCGUGCCAGCAGCCGCGGUAAUACGUAGGGAGCAAGCGUUAUCCGGAUUUACUGGGUGUAAAGGGCGUGUAGGCGGGCAUGCAAGCCAGAAGUGAAAUCUUGGGGCUUAACCCCCAAACUGCUUUUGGAACUGCGUGUCUUGAGUGAUGGAGAGGCAGGCGGAAUUCCCAGUGUAGCGGUGAAAUGCGUAGAUAUUGGGAGGAACACCAGUGGCGAAGGCGGCCUGCUGGACAUUAACUGACGCUGAGGCGCGAAAGCGUGGGGAGCAAACAGGAUUAGAUACCCUAGUAGUC
This 460-nucleotide ribosomal RNA is filed under the name uncultured bacterium. RNAcentral describes it as "partial 16S ribosomal RNA". It matches the Rfam family "Bacterial small subunit ribosomal RNA", at positions 338 to 795 of the family's 1533-position model. The record is from RNAcentral.